UACGGGGGGAGCAAGCGUUGUUCGGAUUUACUGGGCGUAAAGGGCGCGUAGGCGGUAGCACAAGUCAGUUGUGAAAUCUCCGGGCUUAACUCGGAAAGGUCAACUGAUACUGUGCGACUAGAGUGCAGAAGGGGCAACUGGAAUUCUUGGUGUAGCGGUGAAAUGCGUAGAUAUCAAGAGGAACACCUGCGGCGAAGGCGGGUUGCUGGGCCGACACUGACGCUGAGGCGCGAAAGCCAGGGGAGCGAACGGG
Molecule: ribosomal RNA, 253 nt
Filed under: uncultured bacterium
Lineage: Bacteria
Description: partial 16S ribosomal RNA
Rfam family: Bacterial small subunit ribosomal RNA
Source: RNAcentral